This 494-nucleotide ribosomal RNA is filed under the name uncultured bacterium. Its description in RNAcentral is "partial 16S ribosomal RNA". It matches the Rfam family "Bacterial small subunit ribosomal RNA", at positions 28 to 507 of the family's 1533-position model. The record is from RNAcentral.
GACGAACGCUGGCGGCGCGCUUAACACAUGCAAGUCGAACGGAAAGGCCUGCUUUCCCUUGUGGAUUGCGGGUACUCGAGUGGCGAACGGGUGAGUAACACGUGAGUGAUCUGCCCCCAACUUGGGUAUAAGCCUGGGAAACUGGGUCUAAUUCCCGAUAGGACCGCAGGGUGGUGCCUGUGGUGGCAGACGAUUUUCUAGUGGUUGGGGAUGAGCUGGUGGCUUAUCAGCUUGUUGGUGGGGUAAUGGCCUACCAAGGCGGCGACGGGUAGCCGGCCUGGGAGGGUGGACGGCCACAGUGGGACUGAGACACGGCCCAGACGCCUACGGGAGGCAGCAGUGGGGAAUAAUGCACAAUGGGCGGAAGCCUGAUGCAGCGACGCCGCGUGGGGGAUGACGGCCUUGGGGUUGUAAACUCCUUUCGACCGCGAGGAAGCCACCUGGUUGGAAGGGUGGUGACGGUAGUGGUAGAAGAAGCACCGGCUAACUACGUG